ACCGCUUCUCGGCCUUUUGGCUAAGAUCAAGUGUAGUAUCUGUUCUUAUCAGUUUAAAUAGCCCUAGCUGGUUUGGCUCAGUGGGUAGAGCGUUGGCCUACCGACU
Myotis davidii is the source of this 106-nucleotide non-coding RNA. NCBI's taxonomy places the organism in Eukaryota, Metazoa, Chordata, Mammalia, Chiroptera, Vespertilionidae. The record is from Rfam.